UUCUAGAUCAUAGACAUCAAGCACAUUGAUGCCACAAAUUAUAGACAAGGUGACUUUAUUUUUUAUUUACAGGUUCUUGGGUUUCUAAUGUUGCAUGACAGACUUUAUGAGAAGUCAUGUCCAUUGAACAAAAAGGACAAAGACUAUACAGUAACCCGUUGGCUGCUAGCCUGCUACCCUUGAAUAUCCCCUUUUACUUCAUGAAAAUGUAAACAGGCCCUCUUGAUUUGAGAGUAACUCCUUUGCUACUUAUCAUGGAUUUCAUCCAUUGGUGAAAGCCAAUGACAACCAGGAGGAAAAGAGUGUGCUGGUCGAAUGGGGACUUGCAAGCUUAAGUCGGAAGCCAUAAGGAUAUGAUUAAUCGUUCUCGUAAUAACUGUUCCUCAACUCUUCGCUCUUUUUCCGGUUUCUCCUACCAUCUCCCUGUCUGCAGUCAAUUAAGGCAGUCUCCCCCUGUCUUGAUUGACUCCAUGUGCGAGUUUUUAAAGCAAUUUAUCUCCCAAAUAACACAAAAGAAGUUGGUUAGGUUUGUUUUAUUUGGGUAUAAAUUGUUUUAUAACUUGUACUAAUAAUCAAAUGCCUUGUACCGGACGCUCUGUUUAUUAAAUUUUUGAUAUUUUUGGGAAAAAUUAAUAAAAUGUAUUUAAGUUAA
This is a long non-coding RNA of Daphnia pulex (common water flea), 652 nucleotides long. RefSeq lists it as uncharacterized. The record is from RefSeq and is a predicted model, not a curated record. Lineage: Eukaryota; Metazoa; Arthropoda; Branchiopoda; Diplostraca; Daphniidae. The transcript has 2 exons.